AAGAUUUUAGUUAAUGUAAAUAAUAAUAACUUGUCGGGUUAUAGUAAUUGAAAAAUAAAUCUUA
RNAcentral lists this transfer RNA (64 nucleotides) under Hirudinaria manillensis. RNAcentral describes it as "tRNA-Asp". Lineage: Eukaryota; Metazoa; Annelida; Clitellata; Hirudinida; Hirudinidae. The record is from RNAcentral.